AAUGGUCGCGCGAUGAUCGGUUGCAUAGUUCAAAUGAUCACCCCUUUGAGGGUAUGAUUAGUAUGAACGUCUUUCGCUCCUAUCUGAUGACCUAA
This is a small nucleolar RNA of Musa acuminata AAA Group (dessert banana), 95 nucleotides long. RefSeq annotates it as small nucleolar RNA snR60/Z15/Z230/Z193/J17. Lineage: Eukaryota; Viridiplantae; Streptophyta; Magnoliopsida; Zingiberales; Musaceae. The record is from RefSeq and is a predicted model, not a curated record. The transcript has a single exon.